Molecule: ribosomal RNA, 372 nt
Filed under: uncultured bacterium
Lineage: Bacteria
Description: bacterial SSU rRNA
Rfam family: Bacterial small subunit ribosomal RNA
Source: RNAcentral
AUACGUAGGGGGCGAGCGUUGUCCGGAUUUAUUGGGCGUAAAGGGUUCGUAGGCGGUUAUUUAAGUCAGAUGUGAAAGGCGCAGGCUUAACCUGUGUAAGCAUUUGAAACUGGAUAACUUGAGUUAAGGAGAGGAAAGUGGAAUUCCUAGUGUAGCGGUGAAAUGCGUAGAUAUUAGGAGGAAUACCAGUGGCGAAGGCGACUUUCUGGACUUAAACUGACGCUGAGGAACGAAAGCGUGGGGAGCAAACAGGAUUAGAUACCCUGGUAGUCCACGCCGUAAACGAUGAGUGCUAGGUGUUGGGGGUCAAACCUCGGUGCCGCAGCUAACGCAUUAAGCACUCCGCCUGGGGAGUACGUACGCAAGUAUGAA